CACACCAUGGAAGUUGGUUACACCUUAAGACAGAGCGUAAAAACUUUGGCUACGGUACGAUCAGCGACUGGGGUGAAGUCGUAACAAGGUAGCCGUAGGGGAACCUGCGGCUGGAUCACCUCCUUUCUAAGGAAAUCGAAAAAUAUAAAAACAAUUAUUUUCGAUUUUAAAAAAAACGGUUAAUGUGACCGUCCUCAUUUCUCUUCUUUUAAUGUCUCUGAGUAGAACAAUGUAAUAAGGGGCCGGUAGCUCAGGUGGUUAGAGCGCACCCCUGAUAAGGGUGAGGUCGGAAGUUCGAGUCUUCCUCGGCCCACCAAUUUUAAGGGGGAUUAGCUCAGCUGGGAGAGCGCCUGAUUUGCAUUCAGGAGGCCAGCGGUUCGAUCCCGCUAUCCUCCACCAAAAUUUGAGACAUUUAGCUUUUUUAAAUCGUAAAUAUUAUUAAUAUCAAUAUCUAUAUCCGAUUGUUUUUGGAUAAAUUUCAAAAACAAUCAAAACAAAAAAUUUGAAUUUUACACAGAAAGUUUUUUUCUGUGCAUAAAUCAAGCGUUUAAGGGCGAUUGGCGGAUGCCUUGGCACUGUAAGACGAUGAAGGACGUGGUAUACUGCGAUAAGUUUCGGGGAGCUGUAUGCAGGCUUUGAUCCGAAAAUUU
This 650-nucleotide unclassified non-coding RNA is filed under the name uncultured marine bacterium. RNAcentral describes it as "partial contains 16S ribosomal RNA, 16S-23S ribosomal RNA intergenic spacer, and 23S ribosomal RNA". The stretch from base 1 to 126 matches the Rfam family "Bacterial small subunit ribosomal RNA", at positions 1398 to 1533 of the family's 1533-position model. The record is from RNAcentral.